AAUCCCGAUUUCGGUAAAUAUGUUGGUAGUUAAGAGAGAUUCUGAUGCUCAAAGGGUUUAACCAAUUCUUAUGCAAAUUUGCAAUGCCAUAGAAGAGUUUUUGGUGUUUUUGCAAUUGUGAUUCUAUGAUUUAGGAACAUGCUUACCACUGCAAAUAGCACUAGUGAUCAGUAAUUCAUCAUUUGUUCAACGGGGCAUAAUUCUGAAUGUUACCGGGCAAACGAGGCAUUUGUCAAAUUCUUCUCUUGUUGCUAAGUGAGUCCUUUUGUUAUCCAGCAUCUGUUCCCCGGUCAUGCCAAGCUUUUUUUAUGGGGAAAGGUAGGUGCUCUGUCAUUGCAUUUAGUAGGUGGAAAAUUUACAGUAUUGAAAAACAAAAAGAAAUCCGAGCCUGAAAUGCAGCUCGCCUGUACAAAUAAACCAAAAGCUUAGAGGCCCCUGGAAUCCUAGAGGAGGCGCACUCAGCUCUAUUCUUGCAGGAUCGCCGGAGUGAGAUGCUUGGUCUGAAAGAUUCGUGAGUUUUUUUUUCAAUCCAUAGGUUCUAGGCGAUGUAGUUAGCAGUGACAAGAGGCGGAGAUGCUGGGAUGUUGGAGCUUUCACCGUUUUAGUCCACCAUGAUCGAAUUGAGGCGAAACUGAGAGCAGCUUGGGACACUCCGGGAUCGGAGUCGAGGAAGCAGGCCCAGACUUUGGCGUAGGGGCACACCUUCGUGAUGUGGGCUGCAGUUUCCCUACAAACUGAAAGUUUAUUAAAAGAACUGAAAGUUACGAAAUGGACCGUCAUACUAUAUAAGUCUAUAUUACAAGAAAGCAGGAAUAGGAAGUCCAAACUUUCCUAAAAUUUUCGUGUGUGCAUGCAUGCUGACAACCAAAAUACACAAAAAUGGUAACUGGCAUAAUCACUAAGUUUUAGCUUGCCAACUCUAAUCUGUUCUAAACCUGAGCUUUGGCCUCACAUGGGCUACAUUAUCAUUGUGCAUCUUUGUCGAGCAGCUAGCCAGCUACUCAUGUUAAUCGAGAUAGUUUGGACCUUUGGAUCAACAUUCUAGCAAUUAACAGGUUCACCACGAGCCAGAAAAGCGUUCAAAAUUACCUAAGCCUGCAUUGAUCUUCUCUGCAAAUCUCCUCUCUGAAACAAAAAGAGCUGAAGAUAGGGUCCAGUUCGUUAUGCAAUCUUAGGAGUUGUUCUCCCUUCUCCGUAAGAUAUGUUGUAAAAGCCAAACGCUCUCAUUUCUUCAUUUCAAGCCUCUGUGCAGCAAAGGUACCAUGUAUUCAGUGUACGUGUUGAGAAGGUCCUCCCAAAUCCGUAAUCCAUAGGCCUACAAACAUGAGUGAGACAACAAAUGAGUGAAAAGAUCUCUCAAAAUAAAAACAAACGUGUGAAAACCGAGCGGAUCAAGAUAAGAUCCAUACAAGAAUCAAGAAAUAAAAGAUAAUCACCAUGAACUUUCUAUUAAGUUUAUGUUCCAGAGCAUUUUAACAAGGCCAGAUGUUGUUUGUCAUGGUCUAUCGCUGCAAGUCUAAACACGGGAACAAUCACAGAAGAUCACAAUAAUUACGCAUUUGAGGGUGAGUGUUACCACUGACUAUUGCAGAAGUUUUGGAACUAAUCCUUCAACCUAGGAGAUUGGAAACAAAAAACUUGAGCAUGUUAAUUAUCUGAGUUAUGGAGGUACUAAUACACUGAACUUGGAGGAUCACAAAUUCUGAAAGCUACCAUGGACGGUAAUCACUUGAUGAAGUUUAAGAAGUAUAUGUAAAUUGUCAGACCAUUAGAGGAAUGUGCGAUUGUACCAUGGAUUCACUGAAUAAAAAAUACCAGGUCCGAUGAAAAUAAAAAUCUCAAAAGGUCGUAUGCAUUGAUAACGGCAUCCCUAUUAGCUGGUCCAAAGUUCUUUUGGUUUUAAUUGCUUCCAAAAUACUCUGUCCAGGUAAUGUUGGUGGUAGAGAUUGAUGGGGGCGAUUAACGAUAUUGAUUGUAGAGAUUGAUGGGGGCGAUUUCGUGAAAUCUCGCCAUGUUUGCGCACCAAUUUUUUUUCCGAUUUGAGCCUUGGUAGCUGGGGUUAGGUGCUGAUAUAUGUAAGGAAACGCAGGUUCCAAAGCCUAACACCUUGAGAUUGAUACCCUCUUCAGUCUUCACUAGAUCUACAGUCUUCACACAACAAAAUCUCAUCUAUCGUCUUUGCCGAUCGAUCGAUGGCCUUUGUGGCCAACAACUGGUCGUUGCUCCCUGUGGAACUUAUUUGCAUCAUUGUGAAAUUCCUCCUGUUGAAUGAAGACCUUGAUACGUACAUGGACUUCCGUGCCGUGUGCCAUGACUGAUGCGGCGUCGCCACCGGCCUGGCGGCGGAUGGCACCACGCGAAUGACCACUGUGGUGUCGUAUGCUGCGGGGCCGGUGGCGGUGCCGCGCCAACAUUGGCACACGACAUGGAGUGCCAUGUACGCAUAAAGGUUUUCAUUCAAUAGGAGGAAGUUCACGAUGAUGCCAAUCAGCCCCACUAGGAGCAAGGACCAAUUAUUGACCAUAGGGGCAUCUGUCGAUCGGUAGAGAUGAUCGACAAGAUUUUGUUGUGUGAAGACAAACCGCAAUGGCUUCUUUUAAAGACUCCAAUUCAGUGCAGUUUGUUGCCCUCCACCGAGGUGGGACUAAAAAUCGGAGACACGCUGCUCAGCAGCUAGCGAAUCGGGACAAGGCGGUAGCGAUCGAAUGCAGCCUGCCACCAAGGCUUGAGGCCCAUAUAACAAUAUCAGCCCAUUUUCCCAGCUCGUCUAGCUUUUAGUACUACCUCUGUCCGUGUUUAAAAGGCUUGCGCAUGUUCCUAGAUAACUAAUUUAACUAACGAAAUAUAGUUAUAUGACAAAAAAAAUGUAUAUCACUAAAAAGUUUUUUCGAUCACGAGUCUAAUGGUAUACUUUUUGUGCAAUAUAAUACAUACUUAGUUCAUCAAAUUGAUAAUCUAUGAAUACGCGUAGGCCUUGUAAACCUGUACAGAGGUAUCACCAUGUACUAGUGCUAGUCUGCAAAAGAAAAAGAAAAAGGCAGGUACUGCACGCAGAACUAAUCAUGCCAUGCUUGGUGUGAGAACUAAGAAGAACAGAUUUCUUCUUCUUUAUUUUGACAAGUCUUACAACGAUGUUUACUGUUUUCUAUAUGUGUUGCUCGAAAAUUCGCAUCAACAUUGUUAUUACCGAAAGUGAACCGAAAUUGAUGGUUAUUACCGAAAGCUAACCGUACUUUAUUUUAAUACGAACCUAUCUACCGAAGUAUAAACCAUACUAAACCGAAAACUGUAUUAACAGAACUGAUUUAACUGAAAUAGCCGAACGCACACCGUGAGCAGAGUGGCGGGAGACGUGAAUGAGCAACGUCGAAAAGAGUCAGAAAAUCAGAUACCUGUGUGAUGGGCCGCUGAUAUGGGGCUAAUAUAGAGGAUACUUGAGGUCGCCAGCCUUUGGUCAUCUGGCAGCCAGGGCGGAGGAAGUGACAUGAGAUAUCAUAAGGAGAUUGUGUCUUCCUUGGAUGAAAAUGGGUAUAAUCCUGAAGUUCGAGGGGCCAAAUUGCCAGUUUUCACACUCUAAACACAAAUUAAUACCUACUACCUCCGGUUCAUAAUAAGUGUCGCGGAUUUAGUAAAACUUACUAAAUUAGCGACACACAUUAUGGAUCGGAGGGAGUAUUACUUAGCUGAAUCUUUUUUGGCUCGGGGCGGCGGCCCCUGCUGGCCUCCAAGUAUCUCCGCCACGGCGUGGACAGCUGUGAAGAUUGUAUAGGUAUAUAGGAUAUAGGAUGUCAUAGAAGUUUUCGGUUUUUUUGCAGGUGUGAUUAUAAGAAUUAACCACUGCAAAAAAGCACCAGUGAACAGUAAUUCUUCAUUUGUUCAGUGGGGCAUAAUUCUAAAUGUCACUGAGGUCCAGGGGCAACAAGGCAUUUGCCAAAUUUCUUCCAUCUGCUAAGUGAGUCCUUUUAUCUAGCAAUCUGUUCCCGGCCAUGCCAACUUUUAUGGUGGAAAGUGAUACAGUUGCGUCUUUAGCAAAUGGUAUAGGGUACUGAUUGCGGGCGCUGGAAGCUUUGCUUAUGGGGUCACCCAAGAUGGAAGAGCAGCGAGAGCAGUUGGUGUUGAUCCUGUUUUCAACUACUGGGGCGGACAGAUUCUUGUAUGAUUUAUCGGGCCUUAUUGCAGCUCUUAUUCAUGUGGUGGUAUCUUCUGCGGCUGAAAAUGGUGAUGGAUGAUCUAGCAAGUGGGUCAGGGUAAGCGGCCAGAUCAGGCUGCCGGUAAAUGUCGUCAUCCAUGGCGCCGCCUCCUCUCAGCGACUCCUCCCAUUACCGCGUCAAGGAGGACCAACCCGUUGCACAUGCCGACAUGUUUUUUUCCGAGUAGGAGGAACUCUUUGGCCUCUGCAUCGAAGCGAUAACACGUGCGGGCACAUAUGCAUGGGUGAUGGGACGCCUGCACGACACCGGGCAAUGUGGAGUGCAUGGUGGUCGUGCAGGAGUCCUCCAGGAAGAGAACAUCUCUGCAUUCUCACCCAGCGAUGGAUGAUGCAGAUUUACAUAUGCUUUAGAAUUUAAGAAUUCUGAGUUGAGCAGACGCAGGGACUCCUGAAGUCCUGAUGAUGCUGUUGAUGUGAUGUUUACAGAUUCUCGAUUUACUAAGUUGAGAUGUGAUUCAGUAAACAAGGGUAUAGUCCAGAGUUGUUGUUAUGUUGAAUUUUAAAGCUGUAUCUGUAUCUGUAUUUCUGUUCAGCACACCAGUCUUUGGCCUGGUUGGUGAAAGAAAUUCCAAUUCUGAGAGGUUUGA
Brachypodium distachyon (stiff brome) is the source of this 4797-nucleotide RNA transcript. RefSeq lists it as uncharacterized. The transcript is spliced from 2 exons. NCBI's taxonomy places the organism in Eukaryota, Viridiplantae, Streptophyta, Magnoliopsida, Poales, Poaceae. The record is from RefSeq and is a predicted model, not a curated record.